AAAUUUUUGCUACAUUGCUCAAAAAUGCGGAAAAUUUUACAUUUUCUCAAACAGGGUAACGAACUUGGUUCCUCGAAUAACUUCUGGCACAGACAUCUAAGGGUAUGGCUGUCCAAGAAGAAAAUGUAGCCAUUGGUGCCAUCUAUCGACCACAGGUUAAAGAUUGGCGAUCCGUUGGAUACCGACCGAGUUAUAGGCAAAACUUGGUGCAAAAAUGAAGAAAAUUUUACAUUUUCUCAAACAGGGUAAGGAACUUGGUUCCUCGAAUAACUUCUGGCACAGACAUCUGAGGGCAUGGCCGUCCAAGAAGAAAAUGUAGCCAUUGGUGCCAUCUAUCGACCACAGGUUAAAGAUUGGCGAUCCGUUGGAUACCGACCGAGUUAUAGGCAAAAUUUGGUGCAAAAAUGAAGAAUAUUUUACAUUUUCUCAAACAGGGUAUGGAACUUGGUUCCUCGAAUAACUUCUGGCACAGACAUCUGAGGGCGUGGCCGUCCAAGAAGAAAAUGUAGCCAUUGGUGCCAUCUAUCGACCACAGGUUAAAGAUUGGCGAUCCGUUGGAUACCGACCGAGUUAUAGGCAAAACUUGGUGCAAAAAUGAAGAAAAUUUUACAUUUUCUCAAACAGGGUAAGGAACUUGGUUCCUCGAAUAACUUCUGGCACAGACAUCUGAGGGCAUGGCCGUCCAAGAAGAAAAUGUAGCCAUUGGUGCCAUCUAUCGACCACAGGUUAAAGAUUGGCGAUUCGUUGGAUACCGACCGAGUUAUAGACAAAAAUUGGUGCAAAAAUGAGGAAAACUUUACAUUUUCUCAAACAGGGUAUGGAACUUGGUUCCUCGAAUAACUUCUGGCACAGACAUCUGAGGGCAUGGCUGUCCAAGAAUAAAAUGUAGCCAUUGGUGCCAUCUAUCGACCACAGGUUAAAGAUUGGCGAUUCGUUGGAUACCGACCGAGUUAUAGGCAAAAUUUGGUGCAAAAAUGAGGAAAAUUUUCAUUUUUUUUGAAUUUUUUGAUUUUUUUAUUAUUUUUCACUCUUUUUUUUAUUUCAAGCAUUAUUAGAGUGAAAAGAAACUCAUUGCAACCCAUUGGCAUUAAAAUAAAACAAUUUAAUUUUUUUUGCAAAAUUUCCCAAAAAAAUCGUAAGGGGUAAGCCUUAUGAAAUUUUCGAGUGGAAAAUUUUUUUGAAAUUUUUUUCUGACUUUUUAUUCUUUUUUUAAUUUAAAGCACUAUUUAAGUGAAAAGAAACUUAUUGCAACAAAUUCCCAUCAAAAUAUAUCACAUUUAAAAUUUUUGCUACAUUGCUCAAAAAUGAGGAAAAUUUUACAUUUUCUCAAACAGGGUAAGGAACUUGGUUCCUGGAAUAACUUCUGGCACAGACAUUUAAGGGCAUGGCUGUCCAAGAAGAAAAUGU
Long non-coding RNA from Anopheles funestus (African malaria mosquito), 1407 nucleotides. RefSeq lists it as uncharacterized. The transcript is spliced from 4 exons. Lineage: Eukaryota; Metazoa; Arthropoda; Insecta; Diptera; Culicidae. The record is from RefSeq and is a predicted model, not a curated record.